This 305-nucleotide long non-coding RNA is filed under the name Monodelphis domestica (gray short-tailed opossum). Its description in RNAcentral is "lncRNA (ENSMODG00000047049.1)". The record is from RNAcentral. Lineage: Eukaryota; Metazoa; Chordata; Mammalia; Didelphimorphia; Didelphidae.
AAGAACUGGCUGGGAAUUGGGGAAGAUGGGAUUGGUUGAUGAGGAAUUCAUGGAGAAAAUGGCCUGAGAAAAGGGAAUGAAGUGACUUUAAAAGGAAAUGAAGGUUCCCCUGGAAGAGGACUAGUGAUGUAUAUUGCAUUCCAAGGGGAAGGAGCACAGUGUUGGACCAUCCUCUCUCAUGGCUUGGGAUGAUGUCAGAUGAUGAAUGCUGUAGACGGGGUAUCUCUGAAGAUCAUUCAAGGGUUUAGCACUAUUCCCAUCACAUAGUAGACAUUUAAUAAAAGUUCCUUGAAUUGAAAUGAACA